This 977-nucleotide ribosomal RNA is filed under the name Endomicrobium sp. Its description in RNAcentral is "bacterial SSU rRNA". It matches the Rfam family "Bacterial small subunit ribosomal RNA", at positions 1 to 988 of the family's 1533-position model. Lineage: Bacteria; Pseudomonadati; Elusimicrobiota; Endomicrobiia; Endomicrobiales; Endomicrobiaceae. The record is from RNAcentral.
UUUAUGGAGAGUUUGAUCCUGGCUCAGAGUGAACGCUAGCGGCGUGCCUAACACAUGCAAGUCGAGCGAAAUUAUGCAAGAGUAUCGCAUGAUUUAGCGGCAAACGGGUGAGUAACACGUAGAAAAUCUACCUUAAAAUGUGGGAUACCUUUAAGAAAUUAAAGUUAAUACCGCAUAGUAUUAUGGUUUGGCAUCAAACUAUAAUAAAAGCAGAAAUGUGUUUUAAGAUGAUUCUGCGUCCUAUCAGCUAGUUGGUAAGAUAACAGCUUACCAAGGCUUUGACGGGUAUCUGGCCUGAAAGGGUGAACGGACACAUUGGAACUGAGACACGGUCCAAACUCCUACGGGAGGCAGCAGUGGGGAAUAUUGGACAAUGGGGGAAACCCUGAUCCAGCGACGCCGCGUGAAGGAUGAAGGCCUUAGGGUUGUAAACUUCUUUUAGGAGGAAAGAAAAAAAUGACGGUACCUCCAGAAAAAGCCACGGCUAACUACGUGCCAGCAGCCGCGGUAAUACGUAGGUGGCAAGCGUUACUCGGAAUUACUAGGCGUAAAGAGUAUGUAGGUGGUAAGAUAAGUCUUUAGUGAAAUUUUUUAGCUUAACUAAGAAAGGUCUGAGGAUACUAUUUUACUUGAGUAUAGGAGAGGAAGAUGGAAUUCCUGGUGUAGCGGUGGAAUGCGUAGAUAUCAGGAAGAACACCAAUGGCGAAGGCAAUCUUCUAGACUAUUACUGACACUGAGAUACGAAAGCUAGGGGAGCAAACAGGAUUAGAUACCCUGGUAGUCCUAGCUGUAAACGAUGUUCACUAGAUGUAGGGGGUAUCGACCCCUUCUAUGUCGUAGCUAACGCGUUAAGUGAACCGCCUGGGGAGUACGACCGCAAGGUUGAAACUCAAAGGAAUUGACGGGGGCCCGCACAAGCGGUGGAGUAUGUGGUUUAAUUCGACGCAACGCGAAGAACCUUACCUGGGCUUGAACUG